UUUGGUCGUCUCCGGCCUUACGACGCUGCCGAGUUUCAUUUUUAAACUCUACAAGUCUAAGAAUGUAACAAACCUAAAACCAAAAAGAAAAACUUUCAACAACGGAUCUCUUGGCUCUCGCAUCGAUGAAGAACGCAGCGAAAUGUGAUAAGUAAUGUGAAUUGCAGAAUUCAGUGAAUCAUCGAAUCUUUGAACGCAUCUUGCGCUCGCUGGUAUUCCGGCGAGCAUGCCUGUUUGAGUGUCAUGAACUCCUCAACCCUCCGGUUCCUUGUUGAACUGCGAGGUGUUUGGAUUCUGAAUGUUGCUGGCCUGAAGUCUCGGGAUUUCAAAGGCGAAGCUCGUUCGUAAUACAUUAGCAUCUCGAUUUCGAGUAUUCGGAUUGACUCGGCGUAAUAGACUUUAUUCGCUGAGGACACUUGGUUUUCAAGUGGCCGAAUUUCGAGGUGGAAGCUUCCAACUCUACUGAAGUCAAAUCUAUAACUAGACCUCAGAUCAGGC
Molecule: ribosomal RNA, 498 nt
Filed under: uncultured fungus
Lineage: Eukaryota; Fungi
Description: eukaryotic LSU rRNA
Rfam family: 5.8S ribosomal RNA (bases 91-244)
Source: RNAcentral